CUUGAACGCUGGCGGCAUGCCUAACACAUGCAAGUCGCACGCGAAAGGGGGCAACCCCAAGUAGAGUGGCGGACGGGUGCGUAAUACGCAGGAAUCUACCCACGAGUGGGGGACAACCCGGGAAACCCGGGCUAAUACCGCAUGAGACCUACGGGUGAAAGCGGGGGAUCGCAAGACCUCGCGCUGGUGGAUGAGCCUGCGUCCGAUUAGCUAGUUGGUAGGGUAAAGGCCUACCAAGGCAACGAUCGGUAGCUGGUCUGAGAGGACGACCAGCCACACUGGGACUGAGACACGGCCCAGACUCCUACGGGAGGCAGCAGUGGGGAAUCUUGCGCAAUGGGCGAAAGCCUGACGCAGCGACGCCGCGUGA
RNAcentral lists this ribosomal RNA (370 nucleotides) under uncultured bacterium. Its description in RNAcentral is "bacterial SSU rRNA". It matches the Rfam family "Bacterial small subunit ribosomal RNA", at positions 29 to 404 of the family's 1533-position model. The record is from RNAcentral.